CCUACGGGUGGCAGCAGUGAGGAAUAUUGGUCAAUGGGCGAGAGUCUGAACCAGCAAAGUCGCGUGAAGGAUGACUGCCUUAUGGGUUGAAACCUUCUUUUAUAUGGGAAUAAAAUGUUCCACGUGUGGGAUAUUGUAUGUACCAAAUGAAUAAGGAUCGGCUAACUCAGUGCCAGCAGCCGAGGUAAUACGGAGGGUCCGAGCGUUAUCCGGGUUUGUAGGGUUUAAGGGGAGCGUAGGUGGAAUGUUAAGUCAGUUGUGAAAGUUUGCGGCUCAACCGCAAAAUUGCAGUUGAUACUGGCAGUCUUGAGUACAGGAGAGGUGGGCGGAAUUCGUUGUGUAGCGGUGAAAUGCUUAGAUAUCACGAAGAACUCCGAUUGCGAAGGCAGUGCACUGGACUGCAACUGACACUGAGGCUCGAAAGUGUGGGUAUCAAACAGGAUUAGAUACCCCUGUAGUC
RNAcentral lists this ribosomal RNA (460 nucleotides) under uncultured bacterium. RNAcentral describes it as "partial 16S ribosomal RNA". It matches the Rfam family "Bacterial small subunit ribosomal RNA", at positions 338 to 795 of the family's 1533-position model. The record is from RNAcentral.